UGAAGUGCUGUGGAUUUCUUUGUGAAUCACCAUAUCGAAUCUAAUGUGGUGGCUCACAAAGUAAUUCAUAGUGCUUC
RNAcentral lists this microRNA precursor (77 nucleotides) under Microtus ochrogaster (prairie vole). RNAcentral describes it as "microRNA 876 (ENSMOCG00000008321.1)". It matches the Rfam family "mir-876 microRNA precursor family". The record is from RNAcentral. Lineage: Eukaryota; Metazoa; Chordata; Mammalia; Rodentia; Cricetidae.